RNAcentral lists this ribosomal RNA (200 nucleotides) under uncultured eukaryote. Its description in RNAcentral is "partial 16S ribosomal DNA". It matches the Rfam family "Bacterial small subunit ribosomal RNA", at positions 525 to 724 of the family's 1533-position model. The record is from RNAcentral.
ACAGGGGAUGCAAGCGUUAUCCGGAAUCAUUGGGCGUAAAGCGUCUGCAGGUGGAAGRAUCAGUCUKUUGUUAAAGCUUCAGGCUUAACCUSGAAUSUGCAAAAGAAACUAUUWWUCUAGAGUAUGGUAGAGGKAAAGGGAAUUUCCAGUGGAGCGGUGAAAUGCGUAGAUAUUGGAAAGAACACCAACAGCGAAGGCAU